GCCUGGACGCCAUCUCGGCCUUUUGAGGAUGGAGUUCUGCUGCUGGAAUGGUGCUAGGCACGAGUGCAAUGUGACGUCUGAUGAACAGGUCUGUGCCAAAGGAAUGAGAACAGUUGCUGCUGGGGUCUUCAAGCUCAAGCAUCACACUCUUGACAUGGUCAGAAAGGCACUAAAAAGAACUGACUGGAAGUUGGAAUGGUGGACUUGAGUCUCUGACAUAUUUGGACUGGCUUUAUUUUUUUCUUGCUGUUGGAUACACAUUUUUACUUGUGGAUGGCAUGCUUGAGAAGCAGAUUUUGGAGACCUUUAAAAUAAAGCAGGUGUGAAGAGUUGGGUUGGCUACAGGUCCUGGAGCAAAGAGCAUUAAGCAAAGGCAGAUGUGUAACCCUGGAGAUUUCCAGGCAUUUGACUGCAGUCAUGCAGCUGACUGUUGAAAGGCAGCUGGAUGGAUGCUCAUGGAACAGAAGAUCAAAGAACUGUGAAUUUUAAUAAAUUUUUAUAAACCAUCUGAUCAAGUCUGCUUAUUUCAUCUUUAAUGGGAUGAAGAAAGGAAAAUGGGACAUCUUUGUUCCUAUUCAAAUGUUCUCCCACAGGUCCUGAGACCCUGAAACACGCACUAGCUCUUAAAUUCAUUUGUUCAUGUUUACGAGAAUAUAAACUCCAUGAGAGGGAUUUGGUCUGCUGUA
Miniopterus natalensis is the source of this 686-nucleotide non-coding RNA. The record is from RefSeq and is a predicted model, not a curated record. Lineage: Eukaryota; Metazoa; Chordata; Mammalia; Chiroptera; Miniopteridae.